GGUGUGGGUCGGGCAGUUGCCCAUUUGUUCCAAUGUAAUCAUUGGGACGAAUGGGAGGAAAGUCCAAACUUCGCAGGGCAGUAAGUUCCGAGCAAUCGGAAAUUCCAGUGGCUAUAUCCACUGGAAAUGGAAAGUGCCACAGAAAACAUACCGCCCCGACUUUUUAAGUCGGGGUAAGGGUGAAAAGGUGGGGUAAGAGCCCACCGUCCCGAUAGCGAUAUCGGGAGCAAGGUAAACCCCUUACGAAGCAAGACCAAAUAGGAGAGGACCUCUGUUCAGUGGUGAACGGAGCCGAGGUUGCCCGCCUCGGUUCCGUCCCAACUGAAGUUGGGACGGAAGACUCUCGGGUGGGUCGCAAAGAGAAAUAACUGCCUCUUCUCACCUUUAAGGUGAGAUAGACAGAAUUUGGCUUACAGACCCACACCAGUU
Molecule: RNase P RNA, 429 nt
Filed under: Candidatus Kryptobacter tengchongensis
Lineage: Bacteria; Pseudomonadati; Candidatus Kryptoniota
Also listed under: 1 other name
Description: Bacterial RNase P class A
Rfam family: Bacterial RNase P class A
About the family: Ribonuclease P (RNase P) is a ubiquitous endoribonuclease, found in archaea, bacteria and eukarya as well as chloroplasts and mitochondria. Its best characterised activity is the generation of mature 5'-ends of tRNAs by cleaving the 5'-leader elements of precursor-tRNAs. Cellular RNase Ps are ribonucleoproteins.
Source: RNAcentral